Molecule: unclassified non-coding RNA, 17 nt
Filed under: Mus musculus (house mouse)
Lineage: Eukaryota; Metazoa; Chordata; Mammalia; Rodentia; Muridae
Description: oocyte_clustered_small_RNA14101
Source: RNAcentral
GUCAGCUCCUGGUUCCA